GUAAGCGAUGUGUUGUCAAUUUCUGUACAGGUGUUGCUACAAGAAGUAGCCGUGUCGACUUUCGGACGGUCUGUACGGGUGAAAGCUGGAUUUUCUCUAGUUUGACGGGACGUUUUGUAAAAUGAAAUGAUUAAUUUGUGUCCUGUAAACAUCUAACGGAGAUAAGGCAGUGUGGAUUCUGUUGUGGUGCCGUUGAAUCCUGUGACGUUUAUCUUUUUAUGUUGUGUGACAGUGAGCAAGUGAAUCGUUUUUUUUUAAUUUGAGUAGUUUAAUUGUGUAGUCGCGAGUGUGGCAUUGAAAUUUUAAAGAAGCAGACUAAACAGCCGGCAAGACCUAACAGCGGGAACUAGCGGAGAAUUACAAUCAGAUGUGGUACAUCAUAGACCAGGAAAUCAUAUAAUUCUUCAAGACCAACACAUACAACAACCAUACAAAAAUUACGUAUCCAAGCCAACUACAAGACUGAAUUUUCAAAAAAAAUCCUAAAAAGCAUACACACAUGUAUCACCUUAACAACGCAUCAUGUUGAAAUAUUCAAAACAGGAUCAGCAACACAAAUCCAGGUCAAAUUCAGGUGGAAAUUCCAGUAAAACCACAACUGGCAAAAAGACGAUCAGGUGAAACCUACGUCAUCCAAUAAAACACAAAUCCAAUUGUAAUAUGGAAUUGGGGAAGUCUAGCGCAUCAACUUGUAGAAAUACUCCAUGAACAUCUCAACACAUGACUAUUAUUAGUACUGAGAUAUUUGAAGCACAAUCGCCGGCACUCUUGGAUAAUUAACGUGGAAUUGAAUAUAAUAGACACUUGCACUCUUCUAUUGUUGUCGAAUGUACACAGAAUGAAAAGAUCCAUAAAAUCCAUAAAAGAUACUGAAUGUAUAGUAAGAAAAUAUUUCGACAAAUGGAAAAAUUAAUUGAAUUAUAUUUUCCCUAAAAGUUGAUAACAAGAUUCUAUGAAUGCGCGCGAGAGAUUACUAGUGAAUAUUUUUCAAAAAGAGCUUAGUAAUUUUUUUAUUUCGUGUUUGUUUAUCUGCUUGAUUAAUUCCAUUAUUUGUGCAUUAUUAUUUUUCUAUAAUUUUUAUUCAAAUAUUUCGUUUGAAUCUAUAACGCUUGAAACGUCCGUGUUCAAUCAUAAUGACCACAUUAAGUUUUUCGCGAAUGUUUCGCGGUAAAAUUCGUUCGAAUACAUGUCGUAUUAUUAUUCUGACCUCAUUAGUUUGGGUCGUUGUUGAUAUAAUUUUAAUUGCCCGAUAUUCGGAAUGUAUUGGACCAGAUGGAUGGAGAUGUAAAAGACCUGGAGAAUAUGAUGUCGAGAUUCCUAAUAAAGAGCGAUUGGUGAAAGAAGACGAAGAUCCAAUUGUGGACGACAAUGAAAUCGAUACAGGGAAAUCAUUGGAUGGCGGUGUAACAAUACCGCGUACAUAUCGUAGUGUAUUAUUAAAGAAAUGGCAACCAGCUCCCGUUGUGAGGGAAGCUCGUGGAAAGCCCGGAGAGAUGGGCAAACCUGUUAAAAUUCCUGCUGAAAUGCAGGAGUUAAUGAAGGAGAAAUUCAAAGAAAAUCAAUUCAAUCUUCUGGCUAGUGAUAUGAUCUCGUUGAAUAGGUCACUUGUCGAUGUGCGGCACGAGGGUUGUAAAACAAAACAAUAUGCGGCAAAACUGCCAACUACAUCAAUUGUAAUAGUAUUUCACAAUGAAGCCUGGACAACGCUUUUGCGUACAGUGUGGAGUGUUAUCAAUAGAUCCCCACGUCCUUUGCUGAAAGAAAUUAUUUUAGUUGAUGAUGCAAGUGAAAAAGAUCAUCUUGGCAGAAAAUUGGAUGAUUAUGUUGCAACAUUGCCAGUUAAGACAUUCGUUUUGCGAUCGGAAAAACGAUCAGGACUUAUACGUGCACGGCUUCUAGGUGCUAAGCAUGUUACGGGUGAAGUUAUAACAUUUUUGGAUGCGCAUUGUGAGUGCACAGAAGGGUGGCUGGAACCACUUUUAGCGAGAAUUGUACAAGAUCGACGAACAGUUGUGUGUCCGAUAAUAGACGUUAUUUCAGACGAAACAUUCGAAUAUGUGACGGCAUCAGAUCAAACUUGGGGCGGAUUUAAUUGGAAAUUGAAUUUCAGAUGGUAUCGAGUACCCCAACGAGAAAUGGAACGCCGAAACCAUGAUCGAACUGCACCACUUCGGACUCCAACGAUGGCGGGAGGACUGUUCUCCAUUGAUAAACAGUAUUUCUAUGAAAUCGGAUCAUAUGAUGAAGGCAUGGAUAUUUGGGGUGGUGAGAAUUUAGAGAUGUCAUUCAGGAUAUGGCAAUGCGGUGGCACACUCGAAAUUAUACCAUGUUCUCACGUGGGUCACGUAUUCCGUGAUAAAUCACCAUACACAUUCCCAGGCGGUGUCGCCAAAAUUGUAUUGCAUAAUGCAGCUCGAGUUGCUGAGGUUUGGUUGGAUGAAUGGAGAGAAUUUUACUAUGCAAUGAGCACAGGUGCUCGAAAAGCUCAGGCCGGUGACGUCAGCGAAAGAAGAGCAUUACGGGAACGACUGAAAUGUAAAAGUUUCCGUUGGUAUUUAGAGAAUAUCUAUCCAGAAAGUUUAAUGCCAUUGGAUUAUUUCUACCUUGGGGAGAUUCGAAAUUCAGAAACACAAUCAUGCUUGGAUACGAUGGGUAGAAAAUAUGGAGAGAAGAUUGGCGUCAGUUAUUGUCAUGGUCUAGGAGGAAAUCAAGUAUUCGCUUACACCAAACGCCAUCAAAUUAUGUCAGAUGACCUUUGUUUGGAUGCGUCAAGUUCCCAUGGACCAGUGAAUAUGGUUCGAUGCCAUAAUAUGGGUGGAAAUCAGGAAUGGGUAUAUGAUGACGAGGAUAAAACCAUUCGACAUACAAAUACGGGUAACUGUCUAACUCGGCCAUCACGUGAUGAUCCAACGACACCAUUGUUACGUGCAUGUGACUACUCUCGAGGGCAGCAAUGGCUUAUGGAAUCAAAGUUUAAGUGGCAAGCUCACUAGCACCAUUUCACACAAAUAGUAUACUAACAAAUUAUCAUUUAUUUGAAGAUAAAGCAAAUUGAAAAAUGGAUUGGCUCAGAAGCCAUUUGAAGGAUGACAAGAAAUUUUAUUGAAGAAUUAACUUAAAGACAUUGUCCCGAAUUCCAGUUUAUAAAUGAAUUUUGUGAAAUCUGAAAAAAAUGGAAGAUUGGCGAUAUUUUGAAACAGAUUUAGGAAAGGAUAAUGAGGUCGGUGAAAAGUUUUUAGUGUUUCUAAUUUUCUUUGAGAAAUCAUAUCAAAAAGAGUCGCUUUAAUCAUAGCGACAAGUUUGCUUUGCAAUUAUCCUCAAUCUCAUCUUGUAAUGAAGAAGACUAAAAAAUAGACGUGUCAUACAAAUACGGAAAUGAAUCAAAAACUUGAUAGUCCCUUAUGCUGUGAUUUCAUAUUUCUGCGUUUGGUUUCAUUCUUUUUGAUCGUAUUCAUUUCGAUUUAGAAAAAAGUAUUAGACAACGAAUUAUUUCUUUUGCUUUAUAUGGUUUAGACUGCGAAUCAUCUUGAUAUAUGUGCACAAAAUGGCAGUUCAAUAGAGGUUGUGAAGUUUGGUGCGAUCGCACUGAUAUUUAGCAAACAAAUGUGUCGCACUUCCUUCAGCAUAAGUCUUUGAUAUAUUCAGUUUAUUCCAUAAACUAAUACAUCCGCGUCCUGAAUUUAUUUUCUGAAAUAAAUCUUACUAUUAAAAACACUUUCUCCAAUCAAGAGUACAUAUUCAUUUUUAUAUAAAAUCGAUAAAUAUCUUCCAAACAAAAAAAAAAUAUUUCAACUAAUAUCGUCACUUUUUUGAAUCAAAGUCAUCCAAACUUCCGAAGACAUGUCUGUAACGUGAUUGAGUGAAGUAAACUAAUUAGAAAAUCAGAAUGUAUAAGAAAUUUAUUCAAUUCCUUCAGAUUAAUUCCAUUAAAUGACCUUUCCGGGUUGUAUCUCAGAUACAAACUGUUUAUCAUAUGUUUGUAAAGUUGUGAGAAAUAUUGAAAUUCAUUGUCCAGAACUUUCCGAAGACUUAAUAAUUGAAACUGGUGCUAAAUAAUGUUAGUAAUUUGUAAAUGAUUUUCAGUAUUAAACUCAGUAAUGGAUACAAUAGCGACUCCCUUUUCUACGUUACUGCUAAUCAAAGCAAAUAGAUCCUAAUUCUACUUUAUAAAAAGACACUAAUGAUAUUCAGCAUUUCUCAUAGCUUUCAGUUGCAGAAAACUUCUAACUUAGGCUCUAUCAAAUGGAACAUAAACUUGAUAUUUAAUCAAAUCUAAGUAAAAAGUAAAGAUUCUGGGAAUAAUCGUAUGCGUCAACAUUUUAAAUGAGAAUGAGUUAUAAGAAAGUAUUUAUUUCAUCAAAUAUUAGCGAGUAGUUAAAUGAAGUCGAGUGAAAGUAAGUAUUUUCCAAAUUUAUUGUCUCUUAUAUGGACGGCAAUAAAAAUAUAAUAAAAUUAUAUUCUUCCUUUUUUCGUUUUUCAUAAGUGCAUAUCAGUUUUUGGUGCAAUGAAAUAUAUGCAAGAAUAUAUAUAUAAAAAGAAACAAAAUAGAACCUGUACAUACAAUUUAAACAGAAUAAAACGUUCUGGUUUGAUAAUUCCUUUUGUAUAUUAUGAGAAUAUAGAACUGUAAGGAGAAUACAAUAAUAUUUUAUAAAGUUGAAACUCGUUUUGUAUUUCCAUUACUGCCACCCACAUGACUACAUGCAGAAUAAAUUGACUACAUUAUUCUGGUUGCAAAUGGCAGCGUUGAACGCUUUUCUUCAUAAUUGUGAAUCUAUUCAUGCAUUUGUUGUGCCCCAUCACGUCUUUAACAAACAUGAGGGAUAAGAUUUAUCCUUAAAAAUAUUUGUUUGCCGACAUUAACUGCUCCAAUUUUUAUCUUAUAUCGGACAUCAGUUCAGCAGAUAGUUGGACUCGUUGAAAGUUGUAUCAUUCAAAUGAUAUAUUUUCAUCGUAUUGGAGAGUUGCAUAUUAUUCAACGUCGUCCGACCUCAAAGACCAACGGGAAGCAUUCCAUGCCCACACAUUUGACACUCCACUUUUCCAAAAGUGACACUUUCGGUACAAAAUAAAAUGUCAAUUUCAUAAAAAAUAUUCCUACGUCUGAAACCACCAAUUGUCAUUAGGGUCUUG
Molecule: unclassified non-coding RNA, 5133 nt
Filed under: Hermetia illucens (black soldier fly)
Lineage: Eukaryota; Metazoa; Arthropoda; Insecta; Diptera; Stratiomyidae
Description: polypeptide N-acetylgalactosaminyltransferase 5, transcript variant X1
Source: RNAcentral